ACCCAACUGAUGAGUCCCAAAUAGGACGAAACGCGCGUCGUGGAU
This 45-nucleotide non-coding RNA is filed under the name Schistosoma margrebowiei. The record is from RNAcentral. Lineage: Eukaryota; Metazoa; Platyhelminthes; Trematoda; Strigeidida; Schistosomatidae.